RNAcentral lists this ribosomal RNA (492 nucleotides) under uncultured bacterium. RNAcentral describes it as "partial 16S ribosomal RNA". It matches the Rfam family "Bacterial small subunit ribosomal RNA", at positions 29 to 507 of the family's 1533-position model. The record is from RNAcentral.
ACGAACGCUGGCGGCGUGCUUAACACAUGCAAGUCGAACGGAAAGGCCUGCUUUCCCUUGUGGAUUGCGGGUGCUCGAGUGGCGAACGGGUGAGUAACACGUGAGUGAUCUGCCCCCAACUUGGGUAUAAGCCUGGGAAACUGGGUCUAAUUCCCGAUAGGACUGCAGGGUGGUGCCUGUGGUGGAAAACGAUUUUCUAGUGGUUGGGGAUGAGCUCGCGGCCUAUCAGCUUGUUGGUGGGGUAAUGGCCUACCAAGGCGGCGACGGGUAGCCGGCCUGAGAGGGUGGACGGCCACAUUGGGACUGAGAUACGGCCCAGACUCCUACGGGAGGCAGCAGUGGGGAAUAUUGCACAAUGGGCGGAAGCCUGAUGCAGCGACGCCGCGUGGGGAUGACGGCCUUCGGGUUGUAAACUCCUUUCGACCGCGAGGAAGCCACCUGGUUGGAAGGGUGGUGACGGUAGUGGUAGAAGAAGCACCGGCUAACUACGUG